Molecule: microRNA precursor, 182 nt
Filed under: Oryza sativa Indica Group (long-grained rice)
Lineage: Eukaryota; Viridiplantae; Streptophyta; Magnoliopsida; Poales; Poaceae
Description: MIR807 microRNA precursor family
Rfam family: MIR807 microRNA precursor family
Source: Rfam by way of RNAcentral
AACCAUACUAUCAAUGAAUGGAUUUCCACCCGUGAUAUAACGUGCUUUUUUCACUUAGAACGAGGAUGUGACAUCCUAUUACCAGCCAUCGCAUGAAAUUAAUAGGAUGGCACGUCCUCAUCCUAGGUGGAACAGCCAAGUCAUCUCACAGAUGAAUCGAUCCCCUCAUUAAUAGUUUGAUU